GGUAGAGAGAGCCCGAUCCCCGUGGGCGCGGUGCCAGCGGGCACCCCCAUGAGGAAAGUCCCCCCACCGUUCGGACAGGUGACCGGGCGCAAGCCCGGAGUCGGAGACGGCUGGCUCUGAAACAGCAACGAGACCCCCUGCCCCGACCGAUGAGACGCGCGAACCGACCCGUAAGGGAAGGGAGCUAACCCGUCGAGGGCUGCGGUGUCAACCGCGAAAACAGGCAGGAACGGAUGGAACGGUGAAUCCUCACCGGUGCAAGGUCGCGUCAGGCGGCCGGCGGCUCGCCGCUGGCUGCCGAGGUAGUCCGAACACGACGCGACUGCUCAGCCGAAUGUCGGGUCGAAACAGAAGGGGGCUUACUCCUCUCAACC
Molecule: RNase P RNA, 374 nt
Filed under: Halonotius terrestris
Lineage: Archaea; Methanobacteriati; Methanobacteriota; Halobacteria; Halobacteriales; Haloferacaceae
Description: Halonotius sp. F15B RNase P RNA component
Rfam family: Archaeal RNase P
About the family: Ribonuclease P (RNase P) is a ubiquitous endoribonuclease, found in archaea, bacteria and eukarya as well as chloroplasts and mitochondria.
Source: RNAcentral